GGAUUUUUUGAACCUGCAGCCGAACGUGCGUGUAGCCGUUGCACGAAUUUUGAUGGUAUCCCAUUGCCACGUCAUCCCAGGGACGCGUUCGGGUUGAAGGCAAAUUCCCCCGAACGUUUUUUUACUAGCGUACCUUAUCCUUUCCCCGACAAUCACCGGCUCACCCACUCCCCCGAGUAUCCCCUCACCUUAUCAUUCCGGCGAUUACAGCGGCGAGGCCUUUCGGCGGUUGGAGCAGCGGCGUGCGGGGCACGAGUGCUGCGGGAGGGCGCCGUAUGCGGGCACCACGUUGUGAACCUGCGGGAGGAGGCGGCGGCGAGGAUGGCCCGCGGGAGGAGGCGGCGAGGUUGCGACCCGCGGGGAGGGGGCAACGGCGAGUGCGGCUGCGAGGAUGCGGCCCGCGGGAGGAGGCGGCGAGGUUGCGACCCGCGGGGAGGGGGCAACGGCGAGUGCGGCUGCGAGGAUGCGGCCCGCGGGAGGAGGCGGCGAGGUAGCGUGGCGCUCCCGGUCGCGCCGGCCACCCACAUCCUGGCGCUUGCCAGUCGCCGACAGCGCCGUCGGCGAGGACCCGUUCGCGGCAUCGCUUGCCGGGUCGCGCGAGUACGGCGGCGAGGAUGCGAGAGGGCUGCAUCCGGCGGCUACGUAGCCUGUAGCUAUGGAGGCUGACGCGGGACAUGAGGGAGGGAGUGGCUAGUGAUGGGGGCGAGGGAUGGCGCCGCCACGGCCAGCAUGUCCACGGGACGCCGGGGUCCUGCGAGGUGGACUCCGCCAAGACCGGCGGCAAGGGCUCCCGCGGUGCACUGAGCAGUUCGGUAAAUGGGAGGCACUCGGGACGCACAAUCUGUCAAAACAUGCAGGGAAUUAUUUGGGCUAGCAGGCCUAACAGAAGGUCUAGGUAACGUGAGGGUGGAACGUUCGGGAUGGAGGAUUUUUGGGCCGAACAAAUUUGUUCGAUCGAUGGACCAUCCAGUACGAACGACUCGUUCGGUCUGGGAGACCCCCAGACCGAACGUACGGUACUUAUCGAUGUCCAAUGUUUAUACAUUCGGAUGUGUUUGCGGACAGUGAUAAAAGGCGGCCACCAAUCUUAGUACAUCAAAUGAUGCUGAUAGAGAUUGUUUUUUGCUGGCUCAACAGAUGGGACACCAUAAAACUGUAUUACAAUCUGACUGUAUCCAAAGUUACUGAAGCUCUACUAGCUGGUGGUUUCUCGUCAACAACUAGCUCCUCAAUAUUUCAUGAAUGUGCAUUGAUUGCUUGCGGUUUUGAUGAGGUUAGUUUUGUUUUUCUGUCCAAGGGAAGCCAAUACGGUGGCGCAUAAGAGCAAGUAUAAUAGUCCUACUCAGCCGGCUAUAAGCGAUUCCACGUCAGCAAAUAUCUGAGCUGGAGGGAAGUAAAGGCAGGAGAGAGAAGGGAGCGAGCGCUUGACAAAGCGCCCGGCUGUAGCACAAGACGCGAGGGAGUUCCGCCCGCAUGCAGCCUGAAGCCAGCGCUAGGGCCGCUGCUCCCGAUUCCCUGUACCUCACCAUCCAAUCAACUGCUUUUCCCUUUCUCUUCUUGCAUGUACACAUUAAUUACUCUAGUCAGCCAGCAGCUCAUGUAGAGCCAGCCUUAUUACACAAGACGUCUUUUACAGCAGCUAUUGCUGACAAGGCACACGUAUAGAGCCAGCAGCGGACGACUCUAUUAGCCAUGCUCUAAGAUAGCUAGGUAUCCUUAAAAUCCUGUAGAUUAUGUUUGCUGAGUCAAUGAACACCUUAGCUUUC
Long non-coding RNA from Triticum aestivum (bread wheat), 1766 nucleotides. RefSeq lists it as uncharacterized. Lineage: Eukaryota; Viridiplantae; Streptophyta; Magnoliopsida; Poales; Poaceae. The record is from RefSeq and is a predicted model, not a curated record. The transcript is spliced from 2 exons.